UAAUCAUCUUGGGAAACCAGGCAAAUCAAUGGAGUUCAAGGUUGUUGGAAAGCAGGACCAGAGGAUAAGGGAGAAAUCAUGCCAGAAAUCCCACAUUAAGUCCUAAAUCUGGAUCCUCCAAAUCCAGUGACCUUUAAACAUAUUUGCUGGUGAAUGCACCGAUUCUUCAGUGUUGCCAAAACCCAGCUUCUUUGGCAUCCCAAUGCAGACUGAAGACCAUCAGCUCUCCAGGAAUCCUUUAGGCCUUCAGUGCCAGAUCAGGACUGCUGAGGCAUCCAGACACCUGGACAGAGAGGCUACUGGGUUUUCAGAUUCACCAGCAUGCAGACAGACAGUUUUGG
This 341-nucleotide long non-coding RNA is filed under the name Cricetulus griseus (Chinese hamster). RNAcentral's name for it is "lncRNA (ENSCGRG00015038273.1)". The record is from RNAcentral. Lineage: Eukaryota; Metazoa; Chordata; Mammalia; Rodentia; Cricetidae.